GGGGAUUUAGCUCAGUGGUAGAGCACUUGCCUAGGAAGCACAAGGCCCUGGGUUCGUCCCCAGCCCCG
Molecule: transfer RNA, 68 nt
Filed under: Rattus norvegicus (Norway rat)
Lineage: Eukaryota; Metazoa; Chordata; Mammalia; Rodentia; Muridae
Rfam family: tRNA
About the family: Transfer RNA (tRNA) molecules are approximately 80 nucleotides in length. Their secondary structure includes four short double-helical elements and three loops (D, anti-codon, and T loops). Further hydrogen bonds mediate the characteristic L-shaped molecular structure. tRNAs have two regions of fundamental functional importance: the anti-codon, which is responsible for specific mRNA codon recognition, and the 3' end, to which the tRNAs corresponding amino acid is attached (by aminoacyl-tRNA synthetases). tRNAs cope with the degeneracy of the genetic code in two manners: having more than one tRNA (with a specific anti-codon) for a particular amino acid; and 'wobble' base-pairing, i.e. permitting non-standard base-pairing at the 3rd anti-codon position.
Source: Rfam by way of RNAcentral